Molecule: ribosomal RNA, 303 nt
Filed under: uncultured bacterium
Lineage: Bacteria
Description: partial 16S ribosomal RNA
Rfam family: Bacterial small subunit ribosomal RNA
Source: RNAcentral
AGCAGUCGCCGCGGUAAUACAGAGGAUGCAAGCGUUAUCCGGAAUGAUUGGGCGUAAAGCGUCUGUAGGUGGCUUUUCAAGUCCGCCGUCAAAUCCCCGGGCUCAACCCUGGACAGGCAGUGGAAACUACCAAGCUGGAGUACGGUAGGGGCAGAGGGAAUUUCCGGUGUAGCAGUGAAAUGCGUAGAGAUCGGAAGGAACAUCUGUGGCGAAGGCGACUAUCUGGGCCAACACUGACACUGAGGCACGAAAGCGUGGGGAGCAAACAGGAUUAGAUACCCCAGUAGUCCCUGUCUCUUAUAC